This 305-nucleotide ribosomal RNA is filed under the name uncultured bacterium. Its description in RNAcentral is "bacterial SSU rRNA". It matches the Rfam family "Bacterial small subunit ribosomal RNA", at positions 333 to 655 of the family's 1533-position model. The record is from RNAcentral.
ACGGUCCUACGGGGGGCAGCAGUGGGGGAUAUUGCACAAUGGGGGAAACCCUGAUGCAGCGACGCCGCGUGUGGGAAGACGGUCUUCUGGAUUGUAAACCACUGUCCCCAGGGACGAAACUGACGGUACCUGGGGAGGAAGCUCCGGCUAACUACGUGCCAGCAGCCGCGGUAAUACGUAGGGAGCAAGCGUUGUCCGGAAUUACUGGGUGUAAAGGGAGCGUAGGCGGGGAUGCAAGUUGGGUGUCAAAACUACCGGCUCAACCGAUAGUCGCACUCAAAACGGCAACUCUUGAGCGAAGCAGA